UCCGGUUUAACACCGGCAGUCUCCCUAGAGUCCCCAACUUAAUGCUGGUAACUAAGGACAGGGGUUGCGCUCGUUGCCGGACUUAACCGAACAUUUCACAACACGAGCUGACGACAGCCAUGCAGCACCUGUCUACGAGUCCCCGAAGGGAAGGCCGCAUCUCUGCGGAUAUCUCGCGAUGUCAAGACCAGGUAAGGUUCUGCGCGUUGCUUCGAAUUAAACCACAUACUCCACCGCUUGUGCGGGCCCCCGUCAAUUCCUUUGAGUUUUAGUCUUGCGACCGUACUUCCCAGGCGGGACACUUAAUGCGUUAGCUGCGCCACCUAAACGCUAAGCGCCCAGACAGCUAGUCAUCAUCGUUUACGGCGUGGACUAC
Molecule: unclassified non-coding RNA, 376 nt
Filed under: uncultured Oligoflexaceae bacterium
Lineage: Bacteria; Pseudomonadati; Bdellovibrionota; Oligoflexia; Oligoflexales; Oligoflexaceae
Description: contains 16S-23S intergenic spacer region
Source: RNAcentral